GAUGAACGCUAGCGACAGGCUUAACACAUGCAAGUCGAGGGGCAGCACAGGUAGCAAUACCGGGUGGCGACCGGCGCACGGGUGAGUAACGCGUAUGCAACUUACCUAUCAGAGGGGGAUAACCCGGCGAAAGUCGGACUAAUACCGCAUGAAGCAGGGGCCCCGCAUGGGGAUAUUUGCUAAAGAUUCAUCGCUGAUAGAUAGGCAUGCGUUCCAUUAGGCAGUUGGCGGGGUAACGGCCCACCAAACCGACGAUGGAUAGGGGUUCUGAGAGGAAGGUCCCCCACAUUGGUACUGAGACACGGACCAAACUCCUACGGGAGGCAGCAGUGAGGAAUAUUGGUCAAUGGCCGAGAGGCUGAACCAGCCAAGUCGCGUGAGGGAUGAAGGUUCUAUGGAUCGUAAACCUCUUUUAUAAGGGAAUAAAGUGCGGGACGUGUCCCGUUUUGUAUGUACCUUAUGAAUAAGGAUCGGCUAACUCCGUGCCAGCAGCCGCGGUAAUACGGAGGAUCCGAGCGUUAUCCGGAUUUAUUGGGUUUAAAGGGUGCGUAGGCGGCCUUUUAAGUCAGCGGUGAAAGUCUGUGGCUCAACCAUAGAAUUGCCGUUGAAACUGGGGGGCUUGAGUAUGUUUGAGGCAGGCGGAAUGCGUGGUGUAGCGGUGAAAUGCAUAGAUAUCACGCAGAACCCCGAUUGCGAAGGCAGCCUGCCAAGCCAUGACUGACGCUGAUGCACGAAAGCGUGGGGAUCAAACAGGAUUAGAUACCCUGGUAGUCCACGCAGUAAACGAUGAUCACUAGCUGUUUGCGAUACACUGUAAGCGGCACAGCGAAAGCGUUAAGUGAUCCACCUGGGGAGUACGCCGGCAACGGUGAAACUCAAAGGAAAUGACGGGGGCCCGCACAAGCGGAGGAACAUGUGGUUUAAUUCGAUGAUACGCGAGGAACCUUACCCGGGUUUGAACGCAUUCGGACCGAGGUGGAAACACCUUUUCUAGCAAUAGCCGUUUGCGAGGUGCUGCAUGGUUGUCGUCAGCUCGUGCCGUGAGGUGUCGGCUUAAGUGCCAUAACGAGCGCAACCCCAGCCACUAGUUACUAACAGGUAAAGAUGAGGACUCUGGUGGGACUGCCAGCGUAAGCUGCGAGGAAGGCGGGGAUGACGUCAAAUCAGCACGGCCCUUACAUCCGGGGCGACACACGUGUUACAAUGGCGUGGACAAAGGGAGGCCACCUGGUGACAGGGAGCGAAUCCCCAAACCACGUCUCAGUUCGGAUCGGAGUCUGCAACCCGACUCCGUGAAGCUGGAUUCGCUAGUAAUCGCGCAUCAGCCAUGGCGCGGUGAAUAAAAUCCCCCUCCUUGCACA
RNAcentral lists this ribosomal RNA (1361 nucleotides) under uncultured bacterium. RNAcentral's name for it is "bacterial SSU rRNA". It matches the Rfam family "Bacterial small subunit ribosomal RNA", at positions 28 to 1387 of the family's 1533-position model. The record is from RNAcentral.